RNAcentral lists this ribosomal RNA (495 nucleotides) under uncultured bacterium. Its description in RNAcentral is "partial 16S ribosomal RNA". It matches the Rfam family "Bacterial small subunit ribosomal RNA", at positions 28 to 507 of the family's 1533-position model. The record is from RNAcentral.
GACGAACGCUGGCGGCGUGCCUAAUACAUGCAAGUAGAACGCUGAAGGAGGAGCUUGCUUCUCUGGAUGAGUUGCGAACGGGUGAGUAACGCGUAGGUAACCUGCCUGGUAGCGGGGGAUAACUAUUGGAAACGAUAGCUAAUACCGCAUAAUAUUGACUAUUGCAUGAUAGUCAGUUGAAAGGUGCAACUGCACCACUACCAGAUGGACCUGCGUUGUAUUAGCUAGUUGGUGGGGUAACGGCUCACCAAGGCGACGAUACAUAGCCGACCUGAGAGGGUGAUCGGCCACACUGGGACUGAGACACGGCCCAGACUCCUACGGGAGACAGCAGUAGGGAAUCUUCGGCAAUGGACGGAAGUCUGACCGAGCAACGCCGCGUGAGUGAAGAAGGUUUUCGGAUCGUAAAGCUCUGUUGUAAGAGAAGAACGAGUGUGAGAGUGGAAAGCUCACACUGUGACGGUAUCUGACCAGAAAGGGACGGCUAACUACGUG